This is a long non-coding RNA of Exaiptasia diaphana, 386 nucleotides long. RefSeq lists it as uncharacterized. The record is from RefSeq and is a predicted model, not a curated record. The transcript has 3 exons. Lineage: Eukaryota; Metazoa; Cnidaria; Anthozoa; Actiniaria; Aiptasiidae.
UUGUUGUUGAUAAUGUGUGCCCUUAAGCAGCCAUAUUGAUCUAAAAUUAUAAACAACCUCCAAAUUGGACAAUAUUUUCAAAGAAGCAUUUUUUCCACUGUGAUUGGUAAUUAUUAAUGUAGUAAAUAACCUGCCAGGUAGUCAUUCCACCAAAGUCUUCUUUCUACAAGUUAUAAAUCCUGAAGAAGUGGAUGUUGAAGGAGCCUGCGAACAAAGUUGAUGUUCAGCUACAUUUAUCCCAUGACUCAGAUUGUCCAUGUCCGAAUUGGAAAUGUGGAGAUGAUGGUGUAGCAAAGGAGUUUUGAGAACAGGAUGAUUUGGAAUUUAUCUCAAAAGCUUCUUGUUAGCAGUGCGAGGCCUUGCAACAAUAAUUGUAAUGUUCUUGC